This 119-nucleotide microRNA precursor is filed under the name Amborella trichopoda. RNAcentral describes it as "miR8567 stem-loop (atr-MIR8567)". The record is from miRBase by way of RNAcentral. Lineage: Eukaryota; Viridiplantae; Streptophyta; Magnoliopsida; Amborellales; Amborellaceae.
GAAAUUUAGGAUUUUAAAAAUGGUGCAGAUUGAGCAGAUCUAUAAGCACUUAAAAAUCUUGAAAAUAGAUGGUCCAGAUAACUUGUUACAAGAUGCACUAAUUUUAGGACUUGAAAUUC